RNAcentral lists this long non-coding RNA (1321 nucleotides) under Malus domestica (apple). RNAcentral describes it as "long non-coding RNA (MDOM_LNC000086)". The record is from RNAcentral. Lineage: Eukaryota; Viridiplantae; Streptophyta; Magnoliopsida; Rosales; Rosaceae.
AUCGUUUGAUGUGUAUAACACAAUUGAAAUAAAUUUCAAGAGAGACGGUGGGAGUUUAGGGACCAUGACUAUUAUAGUCAAUGGAGAACUCAAAUGAAGAAGGCGAAAUAACUCCAAGGGAACAAACUUUCCUAAUGAAAGGAUGGACAUUGGAAGGAGUAUUUGCAAGAAAAGUCUUGCAAGUGUCAAUAACACACCUUUCGAAGGCGUUGUAAAUUGUUCUUGAAUAGUUCAAAACAGUUGGUUCUUCUACUUGAAUGCUUGAUUCAGUAUUAGUAACUAUGUUUUACAAUCGUUUUAAAAGUGUGGCUAAUAAGAAGUAGAAGAUUAAUGAGAAAAGAGAAAGUACUUCACAUUUGGAACGUGAAUCAAAUAUAGAUCUCUGCGAAAGCAGAUAGUACUUACUUCCUCAUAUGAACUACCCAAGAAAAUCGAAAACAAAGAUUGUCCUUACAUUUCAAUUUUAAUAAAGGAACUUAAUUCCUUUAUUAUAAGAGAUGGAUGAAUGUUUUGUUUGACAAAACAUUAUUCUUUAUUAAUGAAUGAUUGGAUUAUUGUAAUCUAAUUGAUUGUCUCUAUAGUAGAGAUGAUGUGGUAGUGUUAAUUGUUUAGAAUAUAACGAUGCUUAAAACCCAAAAGGUUGCAAGGUAGUGACUAAUCCCACUGAGUUGUGACACCUCUAAAACAUAAAUUACAAGUUGGUCAUAGAUGGAUGCUUUGGAUCGUUUGAUCCGGAUCCAAUGCCUUCUUGUUAAAAUUGUAUAGGGCAAAAUGUUCGAAUCUUUAUUCUUUUUGAAAAGAAGAAAGAAUCACAAAGUUGUUGAGUUUAAUUCGCUUAGAUUUUAGUGGCACUUGUCCACAACAUAAUACUACUCAUGUUAUAUGACAUUCACCGAAGAUCGCUCUCGGUUGGACUAUCGUUUAUUUUGAAUAAACAUAUGUCCGAAUACUUUGCAAAAGGUAUCAGAGAAUGCAAGAAUGUAAGUUGAUGAGUAAGACGUCUAAAGUAUUUACCUCCUUAGAUUUGAUCCAAGGAAAAUUGACACUUUAGAUGAGUUUCCUUGAAAGAUAUCAAUGAAAGAAGCAUCAUAAGAUAAUGGAUUUCUCCAUUGGGAGAAGAACGAACUCGAAUAAGAUGUAGUUCGUUGGAUGUUAUCAAUUACCCAUAUAUAGGAUAUAUACUUCUAAGACAAUAUGAUUGUAAAUUAGAAGAUCUUCCAAAAUUUUCAUGACUCCAUAGGAUGUAGUUGGAAAGAAAGACAAGUCUUAAUCGUGUUAAGAUUUGGGGUUGCAUGCUAAUAAGAAAUAUUUGUUUGAGAAC